GUUUUAAUAGUUUAAUAAAAACAUUAGUCUUGUAAACUAAAAAUAAAAAAUUUUUUUUUAAAACUUC
This 67-nucleotide transfer RNA is filed under the name Culex fergusoni. RNAcentral describes it as "tRNA-Thr". It matches the Rfam family "tRNA". From Rfam's summary of the family: Transfer RNA (tRNA) molecules are approximately 80 nucleotides in length. Their secondary structure includes four short double-helical elements and three loops (D, anti-codon, and T loops). Further hydrogen bonds mediate the characteristic L-shaped molecular structure. tRNAs have two regions of fundamental functional importance: the anti-codon, which is responsible for specific mRNA codon recognition, and the 3' end, to which the tRNAs corresponding amino acid is attached (by aminoacyl-tRNA synthetases). tRNAs cope with the degeneracy of the genetic code in two manners: having more than one tRNA (with a specific anti-codon) for a particular amino acid; and 'wobble' base-pairing, i.e. permitting non-standard base-pairing at the 3rd anti-codon position. The record is from RNAcentral. Lineage: Eukaryota; Metazoa; Arthropoda; Insecta; Diptera; Culicidae.